UUAACGCUUCAUACAAGACUCAGAACUCGACGUUUUCAGCGAAGGAUUUGGAAUGUUCGUUUGAAGUUUAAAGAAUAUAUCAAGUGUUGUAACCAAUCCAAAUCUAAAGCAUGACGUUUGACAUAAGAGCGCAUUACUAUAAAAUAUGGACAUUUGGUGUGGCUCUUUUGCUAAUUGCCGUCAUUGUAUUUUGCAUAUGGGGAAGACCAAGAUACAUGGAAUACGGAAUGAGUGUUGUUUUGAUCUUUGUGAUUAGUUUAAAUGCCAUCCUCAUACUAACAAUAACGGAUACAAGUCCAUUAGUCUACUGGUGCAAAAAUUUUUUCGCCAUCUGGUUGCUUGCAGUUGGGGCUCUCUUAGCUUAUAUGGUUCAUCAAUAGAUGGAAGAAAACUUCAAAAGGACGCAUGGCAUUUUGUAGUUGGCUUUAAAAUUUCGCGACUCUCGGUCACUAACUCACUCACGCGUAACGUGGGACUGCAUAAAUUUCAACUUUUUUAAUUCACAAUAUACUUCUUUCAUAAUACGAACAAACACUUUAAUUGUAAAUAACGAUUUGUAUUGUUGUCAAUUUUUAUUGUAAUGAACUUGUAUUGAAGUAAUUUUGAUUGUUGUCAACAUGUCUUGUUGCCAACUUA
Molecule: long non-coding RNA, 636 nt
Organism: Xenia sp. Carnegie-2017
Lineage: Eukaryota; Metazoa; Cnidaria; Anthozoa; Malacalcyonacea; Xeniidae
Exons: 4
Source: RefSeq, a predicted model, not a curated record